This 253-nucleotide ribosomal RNA is filed under the name uncultured bacterium. RNAcentral describes it as "partial 16S ribosomal RNA". It matches the Rfam family "Bacterial small subunit ribosomal RNA", at positions 524 to 776 of the family's 1533-position model. The record is from RNAcentral.
UACGGAGGAUGCAAGCGUCAUCCGGAAUGAUUGGGCGUAAAGCGUCCGCAGGUGGUUGUGUGUGUCUAUUGUCAAAGCAUCAUGCUUAACAUGAUAAAGGGAGUAGAAACUACACGACUAGAGUGCGUUCGGGGCAGAGGGAAGUCCUGGUGUAGCGGUGAAAUGCGUAGAGAUCAGGAAGAACACCGGUGGCGAAAGCGCUCUGCUAGGCCGCAACCGACACUGAGGGACGAAAGCUAGGGGAGCGAAUGGG